Molecule: long non-coding RNA, 1314 nt
Filed under: Homo sapiens (human)
Lineage: Eukaryota; Metazoa; Chordata; Mammalia; Primates; Hominidae
Description: HSALNT0326193
Source: RNAcentral
UCAACCACACUAUCAAUACAGAUGUGCAGUUGAGUAUAGAAGUAAUGCUUCCUCGGUAAAAUUCAUUGAGGACAAUCCCUUCACAAUCUAGAACUGGAAGAUUGGAUUUUCUGAAAACAUCGGAGAAAGACUGUCCUUGCCAUCCACACUACAGCAAAUCUUUGGAGACUUGAACUUUGGGUUCAUAAUCUCACAACUGAGAAGGGUCCCACCACACUCCUGGAACUGUGCACCCAUUGGAAACCUUAAGAAAUUCAACAUAUGAAACAGAAGUAAAGCAGAGCUUCUCUGGCUGAAGGAGGAGGAUUAAAGGUAUCAAGAGGAAGGGUUGAGGGCCACCUGCCAGCCCCUACUCAUUGGUCCUUAGUGGCUCAGGGCUCUGUACUCAUUGCUCUUCAUCCCACUGCUGUGUGCUAUUGUCUUUGUGAUCUUCAUGAUUGGAUUUUGCUUCUUCAAGGAAGAUAUAAAAGAGCCCAAGUAAUUCUGGAAACCAGCAUUUUACCCUUGACCUCCUGCUUUUCAUCCUACUGGUCCUCGCCAGAAGUCGCUGGUUGCCUGGUAUAAGAAAACAAUCAUAAUUAUCUCAUUAAUACUUGGACCUGGCCUCCCUGCUAAUCAGGUUUGUACUGCUGAGAUUUCAAAGGAGAACAGAAAUCUACUAAGAAGAAAUAAAUUGGUUCUCAGGCUAUAAAUAGUUCUAGGAAGCUGCCCAGGGACAAAAAUUUGCCUGCUGGUGAAAUAAAAGACCAUGUAAACUGUAGAUUUAUUUGGAGAGUAUAGUUCCAUGAAUUUAACUGGUCUAGACUCUGGGCCUCUGGAAGGCAGAGACCAUGCUCUCAGCCUUGCCUUUAGUACCUUGUCUGUAACAGGCUAUCAGAUAUGUUGAUUGUGUCAAAGAUAAGCAAAUUCUGAAAUGAGUAAUUUUUUUCAUUCUCUAUCCUCUCUGAAUUCACUUAGUGCCUCUCAGAAUGUGUCUGAGUGGAAAGGGAUUUGCACAGGAUAUGUCCAAACAGGUUAUUGUAACUUUGGAGGUAAACUCUUGUCUAUCAUUCCAUGCACUUCAUUAUUAUUUAUAUCCAUUUCUUUCUUUCUUUCUUUGUUUAUUUAUUUAAGUAAUUGGUCAUGAAAUAGACUUGCAUGCUGAAUACUGAAAUGUGGUGUUUGACACUUGUAAAUUAUUCCAGAUUAUAUAUGAGACUAUAAUAGAUAAAAGUGAUUUAGAUAAUAAAGUGAUCUGUAAUUGAAGUAAAUGAGAGCUGGGUGCUGUGGCUAAUGCCUUGUACUCCCAGCACUUUGGAAGGCUGAGGCAGUAGG